AAUAGUCAAGCUCCUGCCCCCAUUUUCUGCAGCCUGGUGAUGUGGUACUAAUAACCAAAUGGACAUGCCCCACGGGAGAGACUCAUUGGUGUGGGUAAGAAAAAUAGGUUUUGUAGAUUAUUGGGAAUUGCCUAUUUGCAUAUAGUAUUGACGUGGAUGGCCCACAUGAGUGAUUAGGUCGUCCUUGACUUGCACACACGACCACAUGGCACUUACCUUAUCCUUCGGGGAGCGACUCUGUGUCGACUAUUGUGAGAUGAAAUAAGGUGUCGCCUAGAGUGCUUACGAAAUGGGAUAGAACACCAUGCUGGGCGACCAACGGACUUAAGAGUUGAUUUUUUUAUCUUUUUUUUCUUUCUUUUAUAUUUAUUUUAACAGUUGUCCAUUAUAUUUCAUAGUUUAUGCUCAUAUGUAUCCACCCCUGUAACUGCCCAAUUACCGAGCCACUACAAUCACUAGGAAAAUGCUCGUGCAUUUCUACAUCCAACAUGAAUCCAUUAAUCACAAUUUAGCAAAUGCGUACAGCAAUAAGUGAAGCAUUGUUUGAUAUCAUAGUUGAAUGUCCAUUAUUCCAUAUCAUAGGUUAAUAACCAUGAAUUGCGACCAGAUAUAUAUUACUAUGAUGACCAAAGGCAUGAGAAACACAAAAAUCAAGCACAACAUAAUAUUUCCCAACAACUUCCAAAAAAAAGAGAAACCAACAUCGCAACAUAUGAAUGAAACAAAACUAAGAAGCCUUUGAAUAAACAACAUUUAACAUGAUACUAAUUGGGUAUGCUUAAUUUGCAUGAUACAAUGGUUCACGAGGAAACAAUUUUGUGCUGAGAGAUACAAGUUUGGUCUAUUCAACAAAAAACACCAUAUUUCCUGACUAAGGCAUUUAUCUCAAAUGUCUUGAAAGUAUUUAUCUAGAUAGAUCCAAACAAAUAUACAAGGAUGAGAACUACCAAAUAAUCUUAUAGAUUGUGAUUCUAGCAACAUGAGUAUCAAUUCUACACUUUCCACAUAGGCAAUACAAUUUUAACUAGAGGGUUGUGCUUGUUUCCCGAAACAAGAUCAAGCGGGAGAUUGGUGUUAAUUCUCCUAGGUGUGGAACCUUCUUUCGCUGAACACCAAUCCAAAGCACCAUGCUUGUUGCUUUGAAGAUCACUUGUAGAGUUUGUGUGUCUCGGCACGAUGAGGGACUAGAGGAGUAGGCGGCACUAUUUUUCCGAGAGGCGGGCCUACUACUGGUCGGGUCAUACUCUGUUGUGCAGCACAAUUCUUGAUCUUGUUUGGAAUUGAAAAGGGGUCCCGAGGCAGGAUGUGGCUCAGACAAGGGCUUGAUAAGUUGUAUUAGAGUUUUCUUUGAGGAUCACUUGAAGACCCAGAGCGGCACCGAUUAUAGAGAGCAUGGGAAAUGCUUAAUUUCUUGAAGGCUAUGAUUUGUAUUGUGCUAGAGGAUUUAGAUGUGGUCAUAUGGAGUUGGGCCAUGAAAUUAAAUUGAGAAAUUGAAGGGAAAAAGUUAAGAGAAACUUAGAGUUGUUCUUUAUGGAGGGCGAUAGGCCCAAGUUGCAUCUUUGUUGGUUUUGGGUGAUGAGAAUUGGAGAUUGGGAGGAAAGAGGAUAUGCUACGUCAGAAAAAAAACAUAGAAGAUUUCGAGUUUGGCUAUAUGAGUGCGAACUAUUAUGUUCAGCCUUUAGGUUCCGUUCCGUGCCCAACACUUCUUCUGAAACUGGUUUUGAUUCCGUUUUUGUUGUAUGUGUGGAGUUUUCAGAAUGGAGACUCACGCACCGCUUAUGACCGAUCAACUAGACUCUACUUAUUAUGGCUUUUCCUUGUCUAGCCACCUUAUAUGACCAAAGAUCUAAAUGAUUUAUUGCUUUUUCCAUGCCUUAGGUAAAUCUUUCUUUUUUUCCGAGGCCUACGUUAGUUUCAAAAUGCGCAAGUUUAGUUAGCCGAAAAUGUAAGUUCAAUUUUUUCAAAAAGAAAGUGUAGAGUGGAUUUAGGACGUUUUUACAAAGUGUGAAAUGCAAGUUUUUUUAAAAACAUAUGUACUUAUAUGAAAAAAUAACCUAUUACUGCUUAGUAUUGAAAUGUGUGUGCAAUUGUUAUUGAUUAUUUAGAGCCCAGUGUGGUAUCCAUUGCCUAUCCAACAAUCUAUCCAAACAUCAAAACACUAUUACCGUAACACAAAGUAAGAAAUCAAUGUCUUGUGAACAUAUAUAUACACAUUUGUUUGGUAAGAAAUGUUAUCCUCAACCACGAGGGGAAACGCCUCAUGUAACGAUCUCCAACAAAAACUACAUACUUACGUGAAUAAACAUUGUGACUCAUUAGCAGAGUUAGCUUGUAUUGCAAGUACAAUAUGAUAUCAUACUUCACAUGUACAAGUGUGGUGUGCUUGGAUAAAGCAUAAGUGACCAUUGUAAUUACGUGUGAGAAUAUAUAACAAGAUUUUUAGUUUUGGGUAACCAAGGGAAAGUAAUGCAAUCAACCUCGCAUAUGUAUUCCUCCUCUGGAAUACAUUCAUCCAUCCUCUCGUCCUCCGAUAUGUAUAGAGUAGGCCACAAUAGGUUAAUGGGGGCAAGUUGUUUGUAAUUAGGUAUUGUGUACAAAAUAUUCAAGGUAAUCAUUGGCCUAAGACUAUACCAAAAAUUAGCAAAUGAAGAGCAAAAGGAAGAUAUUUUGUUUAAUUGUGAUGCAAGAGGCCGCUUAACUACACUAUUUAGGUGGGCCAACACGUGUUGGCGGACGAGGUGGUAUAUAUUGUCGGUGUUGGAUUUCCAUUUUAGGCUCACUGGAACUUUAUGGGGUGUUUGUUUUUACGGGCAUGCGCCAUGGGUAGCUAGCGAGUAAAUGUUUGCUUUGUAGAUGUGUCCUUAGUUUCUUCCCAUAUUUCAUGUUGGAUAUGAUUUGUUCUCCUAAAUUGGUUAAGAAAUAUUGGAAAUAGCUAACAAAGAUAAAAAAAACAUCAUGUCAUCGAAGAUCCACCCCCUCCGCUCGCACGAUAUUGCUUUGAAAAAUGGAAAUAAUCCCUUCACGUCAUGGAAGAUCUACAUCCUUCUACACACGCGAUAUCGCAUCAUCUAACCUGGGUCAGUCUUCCCCCUUUCCUCACAGAAUAUCGCGUCGUAAUGCAUGAGAUAUAUCCUGAAGUCCACUUAUUGUAGCACGACAAUAAAUUCUCUAGCCACCCCGCCAUUUGAGACGUACCGGAAGCCUCGCCACCGUCCGAAAUAAAUGACACACGUAAGCAAAGUGAGGGGUGGGUCUUGGGACUUACGAGAGGCCAUGCGAGAGCCGCAAUGCUUGGGUUGUUGACCCCAUUUGUUCUCCACGUGGAUCGCUUCUUGAUGGUCUCACGCUCGAGUUGGUCACCUGCCAUGGCUAAGCCUCGCAUCUGGUGUAAACUAACCUUAGGUUAGUAAAUUUUAGUGUUUCUAUAUUUGUUGUUCCAUUCUGUUUUCAAUUUAUUCCUAAAGGGUAGAAUGCAUUAGGCUAACUAAGGAUAUGAAUACCUUCAACGCAUGGCACCCCGCCAUAUCAAAUAGAAAAGGUCCCUACCCCAUUUUUGUGUAGCCACAUGAUGUGGGAGAAAUCACGAAAUAGACAAGCCCCAUGGGAGAGACUGAUUGGAUUGGUUGAGAAGAAGAUGUUUUGUAGAAUAUUAGGCCUUGCGUAGUUGCAUACAAUGUUGAGGUGAAGAUCCAUAUUGUGCGGAUGUUUCCUUGUCAAACGGGCCAAAUAUCCCUAAAUGGAUCAUCGGACGAUGAAAUCGGUCUUAGGACACUACCGAUUUGGCUAACGGCUUAUCAAAUCCCUAGUAUAUUUAUGUUGGGUUUGAGUUAGAGGAGCAAGAGUCGAGGUGUUUGCGGUUCUAGAGGAUUGCCAAAGAUGCCAUAAGACACUAUAUGACUUGUUCUCACACGUUGCUCGUAUUAAAACUACAAUAGGAAAUCAUACUUCACAUGCACAAAUGUGUGGUUCUAGAGGAUUGCCAAAGAUGCCAUAAGACACUAUAUGACUUGUUCUCACACGUUGCUCGUAUUAAAANAAAUGGAUCAUCGGACGAUGAAAUCGGUCUUAGGACACUACCGAUUUGGCUAACGGCUUAUCAAAUCCCUAGUAUAUUUAUGUUGGGUUUGAGUUAGAGGAGCAAGAGUCGAGGUGUUUGCGGUUCUAGAGGAUUGCCAAAGAUGCCAUAAGACACUAUAUGACUUGUUCUCACACGUUGCUCGUAUUAAAACUACAAUAGGAAAUCAUACUUCACAUGCACAAAUGUGUGGUUCUAGAGGAUUGCCAAAGAUGCCAUAAGACACUAUAUGACUUGUUCUCACACGUUGCUCGUAUUAAAACUACAAUAGGAAAUCAUACUUCACAUGCACAAAUGUGUGGUGUACCUAGAUAAAGCAAUAGAGACAAUUGUAGUUACGUGNCUUGUUCUCACACGUUGCUCGUAUUAAAACUACAAUAGGAAAUCAUACUUCACAUGCACAAAUGUGUGGUGUACCUAGAUAAAGCAAUAGAGACAAUUGUAGUUACGUGUGAGAACAUAUUAAAAAUAAUUUCAGUUUUGUGCAAUCAAGGGAAAGUAAAGUAAUGUCCUUCUCAUAUUUAUGCUCGCACUGAUCACAUUCAUCCAUCCACUCGUCCUUAUAGCUGUAUAGAGUAGGUCACAAUAGGGCCAUGGGAGAGUGUUGUUUGUAAUUAGGCGGUAACUGUGUACAAGACAUACAAGACAAUCAUUGUCCUAGAGCCUAUACCAUCCAUAUGCAAAUAAAGUGCAAAAGGAAGAAAUUUUGUUUAACUCUAAAGCAAGAAGCCUCUUAGCUACACUGUUUAGGCGGGCCAAUAUGUGUGGGAGGACUAGGUUGUAUUUUUGGGGUGAAUUUCCAUUUUAAGCUCAUUGGAACUCGAAUAAACUAAGAAGAAAAAACUAAUUUGCACCUCACAUGGCUGACCCUGGCAUUUGGUAUAUAAACUUCGGUUAGUAAGUUUUGGUGUUCCUGUAUUUCACUUUUGAUUCAGUUUUCGACUUAUACUGAAAGAGUAUCCCGUGUCCGGUUCACCAAGGAUAUGGAUGACUUCCACCCGAGGCAUACCACCCUAUUAAAUAGUCAAGCUCCUGCCCCCAUUUUCGGCGGCUUGGUGAUUGGUACUAAUAACCAAAUGGACAAGCCCACGAGAGAGACUCAUUGGCGUGGGUAAGAAAAAUAGGUUUUGUACAUUAUUGGGCAUUGCCUAUUUGCAUAUAGUAUUGAGGUGGAUGGCCCACAUGAGUGAUUAGGUCAUCCCUGACUUGCACACACGACCAGAUGGCACUC
This 5306-nucleotide long non-coding RNA is filed under the name Hordeum vulgare. Its description in RNAcentral is "long non-coding RNA (HVUL_LNC021683)". The record is from RNAcentral. Lineage: Eukaryota; Viridiplantae; Streptophyta; Magnoliopsida; Poales; Poaceae.